GGGUGAGUAACACGUAUGCAACCUGCCCCUGUCAGGGGGACAACCCGCCGAAAGGCGGGCUAAACCCGCGUACAUGCCACCGGGGCAUCUCGGAGGCAGGAAAGGCUUCGGCCGGACAGGGAUGGGCAUGCGGCGCAUUAGGCAGUAGGCGGGGUAACGGCCCACCUAACCGACGAUGCGUAGGGGUUCUGAGAGGAAGGUCCCCCACACUGGUACUGAGACACGGACCAGACUCCUACGGGAGGCAGCAGUGAGGAAUAUUGGUCAAUGGUCGGGAGACUGAACCAGCCAAGCCGCGUGAGGGAUGAAGGUACAGAGUAUCGUAAACCUCUUUUGUCAGGGAACAAAGGCGGGGACGUGUCCCCGGAUGAGUGUACCUGAAGAAAAAGCAUCGGCUAACUCCGUGCCAGCAGCCGCGGUAAUACGGAGGAUGCGAGCGUUAUCCGGAUUUAUUGGGUUUAAAGGGUGCGCAGGCGGUCUGUUAAGUCAGCGGUCAAAGCCCGGGGCUCAACCCCGGCCCGCCGUUGAAACUGGCAGUCUCGAGUUGGAGAGAAGUAUGCGGAAUGCGCGGUGUAGCGGUGAAAUGCAUAGAUAUCGCGCAGAACUCCGAUUGCGAAGGCAGCAUGCCGGCUCCACACUGACGCUGAGGCACGAAAGCGUGGGUAUCGAACAGGAUUAGAUACCCUGGUAGUCCACGCAGUAA
RNAcentral lists this ribosomal RNA (703 nucleotides) under uncultured bacterium. Its description in RNAcentral is "bacterial SSU rRNA". It matches the Rfam family "Bacterial small subunit ribosomal RNA", at positions 104 to 805 of the family's 1533-position model. The record is from RNAcentral.